Molecule: long non-coding RNA, 1402 nt
Filed under: Pan troglodytes (chimpanzee)
Lineage: Eukaryota; Metazoa; Chordata; Mammalia; Primates; Hominidae
Description: lincRNA
Source: RNAcentral
CUAACGAGGAACACUAAAUAUUGUUUCCUGUGUGCAUAAGUCACUUGCAGAUCUAGAAAAAGAAGUUUGCCCAAUUUUAAAUUAGAGGCAAAGUACUUUUCUUAGAUCUGCAAUUUACAUCUCUAAUUUAAAUUGCCCAAUUUUAAAUUAGAGGAUUUUUUUGUUGAUUUGAGUGAAUUCUCUGUAAAAUGAAGAUUUUUAAAUCUACUAUAUAUACACACAUGCACAUACACGUGUAGUAAAUAUUUUACAAGUAUGCUGCCUUUUAUUUUUUCUCAAAUGCAGGGUAAUUUUUGUUUUGCUAAAUUAACCUUCACAAUGCUUAUUUCUGAGCGUCUUAGAAAGGUUUUGUCAACAUAAAAAUGUAUCUGUGUAAAUAGGCAUUUAUAUUUUCUUCUGGUAUUUUUUUCAUUUCGAAUAUUAAAAAUUUUUAAUCUAUAUUCCAUCAGGAACUUAUUUCUUUUAUGUACUGUAACUUUGGCAUUUUUUUCUAGAGAUCAUCAAACCCAAAAAAGUCUAGAUUUUCUCCUGUUAUUUUCCAGAAGUUUUAUAGUUUUGUAUUUGACAUUUAGGUCCGUGAUUCAUUUUGACUUAAUUUUGGUGAGAAGGUAAGAUCUGAUUCAUUUUUUUUCACUUGUGGGUAUUCAGUUGUUCCAGCACCACUUUCUGAAGAAACCAACCUUUGUUUCAUCAUGUUGCCUUUACUUUUUUAUCAAAGAUUAAUUAAAUAUAUCGAUGUGUCGCUAUUUCUAAACUCUCUGUCUUGUUUCAUUAACCUGUCUGUUCUUUCAUCAAUAUGAUACUGCCUUGAUUACCGUAGCUUUACAGUUAAGUCCUGAAGUUGAGUAGUGCCUGUCUUUCCUCCAGCUUUGUUCUCUCCUUCAAUAUUGUGUUAGCUAUUCAAGGUCUUUUUCUUCCCCAUAUAAGCUUUAGAAUUACUUUUUCUAUAUCCAUAAAAUAAUUUGCUUCCAUUUUGAUUAGAAGUGCAUUGAAUCUGUACAUUGGUAAGAAAUGACAUCCUGAUGAUAUUGAGUUAUUCUAUUCAUGAAUAUGAUGUAUCUUCUCCAUCUGUUCAGUUCUUUUUUUAUUUCUAUCAUCAGAUAUGGACAGUUUAUGAAAUUACAUAACUCCCUCUACCUUGACCAAAGGACAGUGAUGAAUUCCUCAUUCUGCAGCCAACAAGUCACCUCUGAGGGCCAUGUGUCUAAACAUAGACAGGAGGGACACCUGUUGCUUCAGCCAACACCUGCUGGCAUGUGCUGAGGAUGCUGGUGCUGCUGGCUUUCCCAGCCCUGCCCCCGGGGCUACCUUCGGGUGUGUGCCUCUUGACCUUAGUGAGAAUGUACUUUUUCAUCCCUACCAUGGGUGAAAAGUUUUCACAAAUAAACACUUUUUAAAAUAA